RNAcentral lists this small RNA (89 nucleotides) under Salmonella enterica. RNAcentral describes it as "partial RtT sRNA". It matches the Rfam family "RtT RNA", at positions 1 to 85 of the family's 130-position model. Rfam says of the family: This family represents a bacterial cis-regulatory element known as RtT RNA. The exact function of RtT is unknown although it is thought that it may be involved in changing the cellular response in relation to amino acid starvation. The record is from RNAcentral. Lineage: Bacteria; Pseudomonadati; Pseudomonadota; Gammaproteobacteria; Enterobacterales; Enterobacteriaceae. RNAcentral also lists the same sequence under 1 other name.
UGCAUCUGAAGUCUGACGAGGAUGAGAACCUCCGGGGGCAAGAGGUUCGACUCGAGCGAAGCGAGAGAACGUUGCGUCAGCAACGGCCC